Molecule: ribosomal RNA, 589 nt
Filed under: Lecania spadicea
Lineage: Eukaryota; Fungi; Ascomycota; Lecanoromycetes; Lecanorales; Ramalinaceae
Description: LSU rRNA
Rfam family: Eukaryotic large subunit ribosomal RNA
Source: RNAcentral
AAUAAGCGGAGGAAAAGAAACCAACAGGGAUUGCYUCAGUAACGGCGAGUGAAGCGGCAACAGCUCAAAUUUGAAAUCUGGCUCCACCGGGGUCCGAGUUGUAAUUUGUAGAGGAUGUUUCGGGUGAGGCGCCGGUCUAAGUCCCUUGGAACAGGGUGUCGCAGAGGGUGAGAAUCCCGUAUGUGACCGGUGACCGAGUCCAGGUGAAGCUCCUUCGACGAGUCGAGUUGUUUGGGAAUGCAGCUCAAAAUGGGUGGUAAAUUUCAUCUAAAGCUAAAUACCGGCCAGAGACCGAUAGCGCACAAGUAGAGUGAUCGAAAGAUGAAAAGCACUUUGGAAAGAGAGUUAAAAAGUACGUGAAAUUGUUGAAAGGGAAGCGCUUGCCACCAGACCUGCCCGCGGACGCUCAGCGGGGGUUCUCCCCCGUGCACUCGUCCGCGACCAGGCCAGCAUCGGUUUCGGUGGUCGGAGAAAGGCCCUGGGAAUGUAGCUCCCCUCGGGGAGUGUUAUAGCCCGGGGCGCAAUACGGCCAACCGGGACCGAGGACCGCGCUUCGGCUAGGAUGCUGGCGUAAUGGUGGUAAGCGGCC